RNAcentral lists this ribosomal RNA (433 nucleotides) under uncultured bacterium. RNAcentral's name for it is "partial 16S ribosomal RNA". It matches the Rfam family "Bacterial small subunit ribosomal RNA", at positions 29 to 507 of the family's 1533-position model. The record is from RNAcentral.
AACGAACGCUGGCGGCAUGCCUAACACAUGCAAGUCGAACGAGACCUUCGGGUCUAGUGGCGCACGGGUGCGUAACGCGUGGGAACCUGCCCUUAGGUUCGGAAUAACUCCCCGAAAGGGGUGCUAAUACCGGAUAAUGUCUUCGGACCAAAGAUUUAUCGCCUUUGGAUGGGCCCGCGUUGGAUUAGCUAGUUGGUAGGGUAAAAGCCUACCAAGGCGACGAUCCAUAGCUGGUCUGAGAGGAUGAUCAGCCACACUGGGACUGAGACACGGCCCAGACUCCUACGGGAGGCAGCAGUGGGGAAUAUUGGACAAUGGGCGAAAGCCUGAUCCAGCGAGGCCGCGUGAGUGAUGAAGGCCUUAGGGUUGUAAAGCGCUUUUACCCGGGAUGAUAAUGACGGUACCGGGAGAAUAAGCUCCGGCUAACUCCGUG